AGACUUUUUAUUUGAUGCUUGCAUCUUUUAAAAAGUUGAGUGGCGAACGGGUGAGUAACACGUGGGUAACCUGCCUUAAAGUGGGGGAUAACACUUGGAAACAGGUGCUAAUACCGCAUAACCAUCAAAACCGCCUGGUUUUGAUGUUAAAGAUGGUUCUGCUAUCGCUUUAAGAUGGACCCGCGGCGUAUUAGCUAGUUGGUGAGGUAACGGCUUACCAAGGCAAUGAUACGUAGCCGAACUGAGAGGUUGAUCGGCCACAUUGGGACUGAGACACGGCCCAAACUCCUACGGGAGGCAGCAGUAGGGAAUCUUCCACAAUGGACGAAAGUCUGACGGAGCAACGCCGCGUGAGUGAAGAAGGUUUUCGGAUCGUAAAACUCUGUUGUCAGAGAAGAACGUGUGUGAGAGUAACUGUUCACGCAGUGACGGUAUCUGACCAGAAAGUCACGGCUAACUACGUGCCAGCAGCCGCGGUAAUACGUAGGUGGCAAGCGUUGUCCGGAUUUAUUGGGCGUAAAGGGAACGCAGGCGGUCUUUAAGUCUGAUGUGAAAGCCUUCGGCUUAACCGAAGUCGGGCAUUGGAAACUGGGAGACUUGAGUGCAGAAGAGGAGAGUGGAACUCCAUGUGUAGCGGUGAAAUGCGUAGAUAUAUGGAAGAACACCAGUGGCGAAAGCGGCUCUCUGGUCUGUAACUGACGCUGAGGUUCGAAAGCGUGGGUAGCAAACAGGAUUAGAUACCCUGGUAGUCCACGCCGUAAACGAUGAAUGCUAAGUGUUGGAGGGUUUC
This 790-nucleotide ribosomal RNA is filed under the name uncultured bacterium. Its description in RNAcentral is "bacterial SSU rRNA". It matches the Rfam family "Bacterial small subunit ribosomal RNA", at positions 69 to 834 of the family's 1533-position model. The record is from RNAcentral.